This 391-nucleotide RNase P RNA is filed under the name Parasphingorhabdus halotolerans. Its description in RNAcentral is "Bacterial RNase P class A". It matches the Rfam family "Bacterial RNase P class A". Rfam says of the family: Ribonuclease P (RNase P) is a ubiquitous endoribonuclease, found in archaea, bacteria and eukarya as well as chloroplasts and mitochondria. Its best characterised activity is the generation of mature 5'-ends of tRNAs by cleaving the 5'-leader elements of precursor-tRNAs. The record is from Rfam by way of RNAcentral. Lineage: Bacteria; Pseudomonadati; Pseudomonadota; Alphaproteobacteria; Sphingomonadales; Sphingorhabdaceae.
CCAGAGGGUCGGCCAAUCGCUUUGAUGUGCAAGCAUUGAGGAGGAAAGUCCGGGCUCCACGAUUUAGAGGUGCCGGAUAACGUCCGGCGGGCAGGGGAGUGAUCGCCUGUUCAGGGAUAGUGCAACAGAAAGCAGGUCGCAACGCCUUUGGGCAUGUGACGAUGAAAGGGUGCGGUAAGAGCGCACCGCGGGUCUGGCAACAGGUCUGGCACGGUAAACCCCACCUGGAGCAAAACCAAAUAGGGGCGGCUCAUGGCGAAUUCGGCCUGCUGCCCGGGUUGGUUGCUUGAGCUGCGCAGCAAUGCACAGCCUAGAUGAAUGAUUGGCUAUCUCGCGCCAUCUUUUGAUUGGAGCGGGAGGACAGAACCCGGCUUACAGACCCUCUGGAAUU